AUGAGGAACUCGCCGCUCCCUCCAAGAACCAAACUGGUCUCUGAACCCGAGUGCAGGCGAUCCGUCACCUCCAGCGAUAAUCCCAACAACCUGCUGUAUCUGCAAAUGAACAGCCCGAGACCCCAGUACACCGCCCGCCCAGUCCCGGACGCUCACCCUGCUCAGUCAGCGCCGGGCUUCAGCUUCCCAUCCCGCCUGGGGAACGAGCCGCCAGCAGCAGACGUGACCCCCAUCCCGGCCAUCACCUUCCUCCUGCUGCUCCCAGCGGGUGUCUAUUCCCAGGUCAGCCUGGUGGAGUCCGGAGGGGGAGUCAAGAAGCCCGGGGAGACCCUCAGACUGACCUGCACCGUGUCCGGAUUCUCUCUCACUAGCUACGAGGUGCACUGGGUCCGCCAGCCAACGGGGAAAGGGCUGGACUGGCUGGGAGUUAUCUGGACGGGUGGGGUCACUGCUUAUAGCAACGCUCUCAAAAAUCGUCUCAGCGUCACCAAAGACAACUCCAAAAGCCAAGUGUUCCUGCAACUGACCGGCCUGCAACCCGGAGACACCUCCGUGUAUUACUGUGCCAGAGAAACACAGUGA
Molecule: non-coding RNA, 582 nt
Organism: Chelonoidis abingdonii (Abingdon island giant tortoise)
Lineage: Eukaryota; Metazoa; Chordata; Testudines; Testudinidae
Source: the annotation of a RefSeq genome assembly